UAAAACAAAGGGGAAGUUCCAAGAAAAUUUCUAAUGGGAGCUGCUGACAGAGAUAAAAAACACAGUUUGUUUAUUUCUAAUAAAUAGCUGGAGGCUGUGGAGAAGCAGAUCUGUGACCUUGUGGAGAAACAGGCCCAGCUGAGAGAGGGGAGAGCUGUGCUGGAAACAUUUAGGGGUUGUCGCUCAUAAGUCCAGGGUAAGUAUACAGCUAACCGUACUACCACCUCUACUCUGUGUGGUUCUCUGCACAGGCUUGGUGCACCCAGGACGCGAUCUUCCCAGAUGCCCACAGCGUUAGACAUGAGCCAGGACCUGGGCGACGACCUCUGUCCUUCCAACGAUCUUCAGGAGCUCCACUUCGCGAAACAGAACACUGUGAUCAGCGGAGACUCCAUCGUCCGACACGUCCGUGCUAUGUUAGCCGAAGGGCAGUUUGUGAAGACAGAUAAUCAAGAGAAGUCAGUUCCAGAUCCACCCUCCACACCAGGGGCC
Molecule: long non-coding RNA, 492 nt
Organism: Carassius auratus (goldfish)
Lineage: Eukaryota; Metazoa; Chordata; Actinopteri; Cypriniformes; Cyprinidae
Exons: 3
Source: RefSeq, a predicted model, not a curated record